RNAcentral lists this ribosomal RNA (916 nucleotides) under uncultured archaeon. RNAcentral's name for it is "bacterial SSU rRNA". It matches the Rfam family "Archaeal small subunit ribosomal RNA", at positions 1 to 922 of the family's 1478-position model. The record is from RNAcentral.
UUUCCGGUUGAUCCUGCCGCCGGCCACCGCUAUCAAGUUCCGACUAAGCCAUGCGAGUCAAGGUAUCGUAAGAUGCCGGCAAACUGCUCAGUAACACGUGGAUAAUCUAACCUUGAGUAAGGGAUAACCUCGGGAAACUGAGGAUAAUACCUUAUAAUUGCUUAAAACUGGAAUGUUUAAGCAAUAAAAGUUCCGACGCUCAAGGAUGAGUCUGCGACCUAUCAGGUAGUAGGUGGUGUAAUGGACCGCCUAGCCUCAGACGGGUACGGGCCCUGGGAGGGGUAGCCCGGAGAUGGACUCUGAGACAUCAGUCCAGGCCCUACGGGGCGCAGCAGGCGCGAACACUGUGCAAUGCGCGAAAGCGCGACACGGGGAGCUUGAGUGUCUUGGCAUAGCCAAGACUUUUCUCAUUCCUAAAAAGCAUGAGGAAUAAGUGCUGGGUAAGACGGGUGCCAGCCGCCGCGGUAACACCCGCAGCACAAGUGGUGGUCACUUUUAUUGAGCCUAAAGCGUUCGUAGCCGGUUUUGUAAAUCUUUAGAUAAAGCCUGAAGCUUAACUCCAGAAAGUCUGAAGAGACUGCAAGACUUGAGAUCGGGUGAGGUUAAACGUACUUUCAGGGUAGGGGUAAAAUCCUGUAAUCCCGGAAGGACGACCAGUGGCGAAAGCGUUUAACUAGAACGAAUCUGACGGUAAGGAACGAAGGCUAGGGUAGCAAACCGGAUUAGAUACCCGGGUAGUCCUAGCUGUAAACACUGCCCAUUUGAUGUUGCUUUUCCGUUGAGGGAAGGCAGUGUCGGAGCGAAGGUGUUAAAUGGGCCGCUUGGGAAGUAUGGUCGCAAGACUGAAACUUAAAGGAAUUGGCGGGGGAGCACCGCAACGGGAGGAAUGUGCGGUUUAAUUGGAUUCACCGCCGGG